AAUCCUAAGGCCGGCGGAAGAAGCAUUGUCAAGGAACUCGGCAAAAUGGCCCCGUAACUUAGGGAUAAGGGGUGCCUGGGAAACCCGGCCGCAGAGAAUAGGCUCAAGCAACUGUUUAGCAAAAACACAGGUCUAUGCGAAACCGAAAGGUGAGGUAUAUGGGCUGACGCCUGCCCGGUGCUGGAAGGUUAAGAGGAGAGGUUAGCGGUAACGCGAAGCUUUGAAUUUAAGCCCCAGUAAACGGCGGCCGUAGCCAUAACGGUCCUAAGGUAGCGAAAUUCCUUGUCGGGUAAGUUCCGACCCGCACGAGAGGCGUAAUGAUUUGAGCGCUGUCUCGACAAUGCAUCCGGUGAAAUUGAAGUACCAGUGAAGAUGCUGGUUACCUGCGCCAGGACGGAAAGACCCCAUGGAGCUUUACUCCAGUCUGGUACUGGGACUCGGUAUUGCAUGUACAGGAUAGGUGGGAGGCUAGGAGAUGGUAACGCCAGUUGCCAUGGAGCCGCUGUUGGGAUACCACCCUUGCAGUAUUGGGUUUCUAACCAGCCGCCGUGACCCGGCGGUGGGACAAUGCCAGACGGGGAGUUUGACUGGGGCGGUCGCCUCCGAAAGGGUAUCGGAGGCGCCCAAAGGUUCCCUCAGAAUGGACGGAAACCAUUCGAAGAGUGCAAAGGCAGAAGGGAGCUUGACUGCGACACCGACGGGUGGAGCAGGUACGAAAGUAGGGCUUAGUGAUCCGGUGGUAUUAAGUGGGAAUGCCAUCGCUCAACGGAUAAAAGCUACCCUGGGAUAACAGGCUUAUCACUCCCAAGAGUUCACAUCGACGGAGUGGUUUGGCACCUCGAUGUCGGCUCAUCGCAUCCUGGGGCUGUAGUAGGUCCCAAGGGUUGGGCUGUUCGCCCAUUAAAGCGGUACGCGAGCUGGGUUCAGAACGUCGUGAGACAGUUCGGUCCCUAUCCGGCGUGGGCGUAGGAUAUCUGAGAGGAGCUGUCCUUAGUACGAGAGGACCGGGAUGGACGGGCCGCUGGUGCAUCGGUUAGACUGCCAAGUCUACGGCCGAGUAGCCAAGCCCGGAAGGGAUAAACGCUGAAGGCAUCUAAGCGUGAAGCCCCCCUUAAGAUGAGAUAUCCCAUUCGUUAAGAAGUAAACCCCCUUGAAGACGACGAGGUAGAUAGGGCAGAGGUGGAAGUGCAGUAAUGCAUGGAGCUGACUGUUACUAUCGGGUGAGGGCUUGACUAA
This 1236-nucleotide ribosomal RNA is filed under the name metagenome. RNAcentral's name for it is "bacterial LSU rRNA". It matches the Rfam family "Bacterial large subunit ribosomal RNA", at positions 1677 to 2925 of the family's 2925-position model. The record is from RNAcentral.